Molecule: long non-coding RNA, 1267 nt
Filed under: Equus caballus (horse)
Lineage: Eukaryota; Metazoa; Chordata; Mammalia; Perissodactyla; Equidae
Description: lncRNA (ENSECAG00000043128.2)
Source: RNAcentral
GCUGGCUUCCGUCACAUGAAGAUACGAGAAGUCUGUGGCCUGGAAGAGGGCCCUCACUCAACCAUGCUGGCACUCUGAUCUCAGACUCUACCAGCCUCCAGAACUGUGAGAGAGAAAUUUUUAUUGUUUACAAGCUGCCCAGUAUGUGAUAUUUUGUGACAGCAACCUGAACGGCCGAAGACACAAGAGGGCUCUUCAAGUACCUGGUCUACCAUCUGGUCAUGAGUGCAAGCAAACAAGAAGAUUAUCAUCCAAAAUUGUUACGUGCAAAGCACAAUUUACAAAGGCACAAGAUGCAGAAGACAGUGAGGAGGUCCAAGGGGAAGGAGGGAGCUGGCCUGGUAGUGCAACGGUGAAGUGCACACGUUCCACUUCUCAGCGGCCCGGGCUUUGCCAAUUCGGAUCCCAGGUGCGGACAUGGCACCGCUUGGCAAGCCAUGCUGUGGAGAAUAAAGACUUCUCAGACAAACAAAAAUAGGAGACCUGCCCUGCAAGAAAUGUUAAAGUUGUUCAGAGAGAAGAAAAUGAUCCAGGUCAGAAACUUUAUCUGCAUAAAGAAUGAGAAAGCAUCAGAGAAGGAAUAAACGAAGAAAUCCUGGUAUUGCAUGUGAAAAUCGUAAAGGACCUGAAUGAUGUUUGCUUCUUCAUUCCUUUGAAAAGAUUGGAUUUUCUCCUGGCAGAGGCACAUAGUUGUAUAUUCUAGUUUUGUGGCACGUGCAACGCCACCUCAGCAUGGCCUGAUGAGUGCUGCCAUGUCCGUGUCCAGGAUCUGAACCGGGGACACCCUGGGCCACUGAAGUGGAGCGCGGGAACUCAAGCACUCGGCCACGGGGCUGGCCCCAGUUUGUGGAUCAGGAGUCUGGCCAUGGGUUCUGCAAGGCUGCAAUCAAGGUUUUGGCUAGGACUGGGUUCUCACUUGGAAGUUCAACAUUGAAUGAAUUUGCUUUCAAGUUCACUCAGGUUGUUGCAGAAAUCAUCUCCUUGCACUUGUAAGACUGAAGGCUCUGACCUCUUUCUGGCUGCUGUUUAGAGGCUGUCUUCAACUCCUUGGCUCAUGGGCCUUCCAACAUAGUCACUUAUGUUCUCAAGCCAGGAAAGAGAGAGACACCAGAGUGAGCCUGUAAGCAAGAUGAAAUCUCUUACAACAUAAUCAUGGAAGUGACAUUUCACCACCUUUGCCCACUUCCAUUGGUUAGAAACAAGUCACAGGCAUCAUCCACACUCAGGGGGAGGGAAUUCUACAAAAGCAGGGAAUUAUACAAGGACA